ACGAACGCUGGCGGCGUGCUUCACCCCUGCCAGUCGAACGCUGAAGCUCAGCUUUUGUUGGGUGGAUGAGUGGCGAACGGGUGAGUAACACGUGAGUAACCUGCCUCCUUCUUUGGGAUAACGCCCGGAAACGGGUGCUAAUACUGGAUAUUCACUGGUCUUCGCAUGGGGGUUGGUGGAAAGGGUUUUUCUGGUGGGGGAUGGGCUCGCGGCCUAUCAGCUUGUUGGUGGGGUGAUGGCCUACCAAGGCUUUGACGGGUAGCCGGCCUGAGAGGGUGACCGGUCACAUUGGGACUGAGAUACGGCCCAGACUGCUACGGGAGGCAGCAGUGGGGAAUAUUGCACAAUGGGCGCAAGCCUGAUGCAGCGACGCCGCGUGAGGGAUGGAGGCCUUCGGGUUGUGAACCUCUUUCGCUCAUGGUCAAGCCGCAACAAUGGUUGUGGUGAGGGUAGUGGGUAAAGAAGCGCCGGCUAACUACGUG
This 482-nucleotide ribosomal RNA is filed under the name uncultured bacterium. Its description in RNAcentral is "partial 16S ribosomal RNA". It matches the Rfam family "Bacterial small subunit ribosomal RNA", at positions 29 to 507 of the family's 1533-position model. The record is from RNAcentral.